UUAAGCGACUAAGCGUACACGGUGGAUGCCCUGGCAGUCAGAGGCGAUGAAGGACGUGCUAAUCUGCGAUAAGCGUCGGUAAGGUGAUAUGAACCGUUAUAACCGGCGAUUUCCGAAUGGGGAAACCCAGUGUGUUUCGACACACUAUCAUUAACUGAAUCCAUAGGUUAAUGAGGCGAACCGGGGGAACUGAAACAUCUAAGUACCCCGAGGAAAAGAAAUCAACCGAGAUUCCCCCAGUAGCGGCGAGCGAACGGGGAGCAGCCCAGAGUCUGAAUCAGUGUGUGUGUUAGUGGAAGCGUCUGGAAAGGCGCGCGAUACAGGGUGACAGCCCCGUACACAAAAAUGCACAUGUUGUGAGCUCGAUGAGUAGGGCGGGACACGUGGUAUCCUGUCUGAAUAUGGGGGGACCAUCCUCCAAGGCUAAAUACUCCUGACUGACCGAUAGUGAACCAGUACCGUGAGGGAAAGGCGAAAAGAACCCCGGCGAGGGGAGUGAAAAAGAACCUGAAACCGUGUACGUACAAGCAGUGGGAGCACGCUUAGGCGUGUGACUGCGUACCUUUUGUAUAAUGGGUCAGCGACUUAUAUUCUGUAGCAAGGUUAACCGAAUAGGGGAGCCGAAGGGAAACCGAGUCUUAACUGGGCGUUAAGUUGCAGGGUAUAGACCCGAAACCCGGUGAUCUAGCCAUGGGCAGGUUGAAGGUUGGGUAACACUAACUGGAGGACCGAACCGACUAAUGUUGAAAAAUUAGCGGAUGACUUGUGGCUGGGGGUGAAAGGCCAAUCAAACCGGGAGAUAGCUGGUUCUCCCCGAAAGCUAUUUAGGUAGCGCCUCGUGAAUUCAUCUCCGGGGGUAGAGCACUGUUUCGGCAAGGGGGUCAUCCCGACUUACCAACCCGAUGCAAACUGCGAAUACCGGAGAAUGUUAUCACGGGAGACACACGGCGGGUGCUAACGUCCGUCGUGAAGAGGGAAACAACCCAGACCGCCAGCUAAGGUCCCAAAGUCAUGGUUAAGUGGGAAACGAUGUGGGAAGGCCCAGACAGCCAGGAUGUUGGCUUAGAAGCAGCCAUCAUUUAAAGAAAGCGUAAUAGCUCACUGGUCGAGUCGGCCUGCGCGGAAGAUGUAACGGGGCUAAACCAUGCACCGAAGCUGCGGCAGCGACGCUUAUGCGUUGUUGGGUAGGGGAGCGUUCUGUAAGCCUGUGAAGGUGUGCUGUGAGGCAUGCUGGAGGUAUCAGAAGUGCGAAUGCUGACAUAAGUAACGAUAAAGCGGGUGAAAAGCCCGCUCGCCGGAAGACCAAGGGUUCCUGUCCAACGUUAAUCGGGGCAGGGUGAGUCGACCCCUAAGGCGAGGCCGAAAGGCGUAGUCGAUGGGAAACAGGUUAAUAUUCCUGUACUUGGUGUUACUGCGAAGGGGGGACGGAGAAGGCUAUGUUGGCCGGGCGACGGUUGUCCCGGUUUAAGCGUGUAGGCUGGUUUUCCAGGCAAAUCCGGAAAAUCAAGGCUGAGGCGUGCUGACGAGGCACUACGGUGCUGAAGCAACAAAUGCCCUGCUUCCAGGAAAAGCCUCUAAGCAUCAGGUAACAUCAAAUCGUACCCCAAACCGACACAGGUGGUCAGGUAGAGAAUACCAAGGCGCUUGAGAGAACUCGGGUGAAGGAACUAGGCAAAAUGGUGCCGUAACUUCGGGAGAAGGCACGCUGAUAUGUAGGUGAAGUCCCUCGCGGAUGGAGCUGAAAUCAGUCGAAGAUACCAGCUGGCUGCAACUGUUUAUUAAAAACACAGCACUGUGCAAACACGAAAGUGGACGUAUACGGUGUGACGCCUGCCCGGUGCCGGAAGGUUAAUUGAUGGGGUCAGCGCAAGCGAAGCUCUUGAUCGAAGCCCCGGUAAACGGCGGCCGUAACUAUAACGGUCCUAAGGUAGCGAAAUUCCUUGUCGGGUAAGUUCCGACCUGCACGAAUGGCGUAAUGAUGGCCAGGCUGUCUCCACCCGAGACUCAGUGAAAUUGAACUCGCUGUGAAGAUGCAGUGUACCCGCGGCAAGACGGAAAGACCCCGUGAACCUUUACUAUAGCUUGACACUGAACAUUGAGCCUUGAUGUGUAGGAUAGGUGGGAGGCUUGGAAGUGUGGACGCCAGUCUGCAUGGAGCCGACCUUGAAAUACCACCCUUUAAUGUUUGAUGUUCUAACGUUGACCCGUAAUCCGGGUUGCGGACAGUGUCUGGUGGGUAGUUUGACUGGGGCGGUCUCCUCCUAAAGAGUAACGGAGGAGCACGAAGGUUGGCUAAUCCUGGUCGGACAUCAGGAGGUUAGUGCAAUGGCAUAAGCCAGCUUGACUGCGAGCGUGACGGCGCGAGCAGGUGCGAAAGCAGGUCAUAGUGAUCCGGUGGUUCUGAAUGGAAGGGCCAUCGCUCAACGGAUAAAAGGUACUCCGGGGAUAACAGGCUGAUACCGCCCAAGAGUUCAUAUCGACGGCGGUGUUUGGCACCUCGAUGUCGGCUCAUCACAUCCUGGGGCUGAAGUAGGUCCCAAGGGUAUGGCUGUUCGCCAUUUAAAGUGGUACGCGAGCUGGGUUUAGAACGUCGUGAGACAGUUCGGUCCCUAUCUGCCGUGGGCGCUGGAGAACUGAGGGGGGCUGCUCCUAGUACGAGAGGACCGGAGUGGACGCAUCACUGGUGUUCGGGUUGUCAUGCCAAUGGCACUGCCCGGUAGCUAAAUGCGGAAGAGAUAAGUGCUGAAAGCAUCUAAGCACGAAACUUGCCCCGAGAUGAGUUCUCCCUGACUCUUUGAGGGUCCUGAAGGAACGUUGAAGACGACGACGUUGAUAGGCCGGGUGUGUAAGCGCAGCGAUGCGUUGAGCUAACCGGUACUAAUGAACCGUGAGGCUUAACCUU
RNAcentral lists this ribosomal RNA (2902 nucleotides) under Escherichia coli UMEA 3240-1. Its description in RNAcentral is "bacterial LSU rRNA". It matches the Rfam family "Bacterial large subunit ribosomal RNA". The record is from RNAcentral. Lineage: Bacteria; Pseudomonadati; Pseudomonadota; Gammaproteobacteria; Enterobacterales; Enterobacteriaceae.